Molecule: long non-coding RNA, 3578 nt
Filed under: Cyanistes caeruleus (blue tit)
Lineage: Eukaryota; Metazoa; Chordata; Aves; Passeriformes; Paridae
Description: lncRNA (ENSCCEG00000019401.1)
Source: RNAcentral
AUGCUCUUCUCCAAGCAGGCACUUUUACCCAUACCCUUUUCUCCAGUACCAUCAUCUCUACUUCAAGGCUCUUCUGCUCAUGAAGUCCCACAGGCCAUUCACAGCUGCUGUUACCAUGGGUCCCUGCACCCUAUCCUCCCCAGAGACCACUCUGAGAGCAUCAGUACCCUGUGCUGGAGCAGACAUGUGCCUCAUGCUCCCCUCCAGGACCAGCUGCGCUCCCCUUGGCCCUGCAGCCCAGCCUGGGACCAUGGGCAGGUCUGUGUUCCAGGGAUGAUCUCCCUUCAAUGUCCUGAUACCCAGCACAGAAGUGGUCAAGCAGAUGGGACCUGGCUUUUUUCCAGGUUUCCCCACCUCAGGACCAGCCAGCACCGAGACGACUCUUGGCGGAUACACACGCGGCUGGAGCCUGGUCCAGCCACAGCGACCUGCUUGAGCGGCAGAGAGCCGCCUGCUUUCACCCUUCCUCAGUGCUGCUUUGCCAGGAGCAGUCCGCGGCAGGCAGACCCAGGCGCGACCCACCCGUGUCCACCAGCACUACCAGCCAGCUGUCACCCUCUGCAGCUUGUCUCUAACACCUCCCAGCUUCUUCCAGGAGCUGAACUGACAGCUGAUGGGCUAUGAACCAGGGCAGCUGGGUCUCAAGAGGGGCUUUAUUCAUUAGCAGAGGGGCUGGGGCAGUGGCUAGGGAUGGAGAUAGGCAGGGCAGCCUCCCCUCUGCUCCAGCUCUCAGAUAGCUGCACAUCUUUCCAGUAGCAGCAGAGACACCCUUUUGCAAAGCUAAAAGGGCUGAAUUACGUGGGCUAAAAACAGGACUGGAGUUCAUGUGUUCCCCAAAGAAGCGGUGACAGGUGGCCAGCUUUCCCUCCCUGGGGUUAAUAUCUGUGUCCCACUGUUGGCAAUCCCCAGCAGGUCUGGGAAGGAUUUGAGCCCAGAAUGCAAGUCCCAGGCUGGGGGCCUCAGCAAGGAAGCUGACUUUGAGGAUGUCAGCAAGAGCACAAAGGCUGCUGCUGUGAACAGAGUGAUGUUCAGGGAAAACAGGUCCCUGUGGCCAGACACAGCCAGCAUAACUUGAAGGGAAUCUAAGAAGGAAAUAGUUGUCUCCAUGUCCCUAGGGAGUGGGACAGACAGGAAAGGACUAGGGCUGCAGUAAGGGAAGUUAUGCAUAUCUGCCAUCUUAGGUCUGUGAAUCCAGAUUAAAAGAAUUCUUUGGAAGUGGCCUCAGGAUGUGACUUGGGACACAGGGACAGAGUGGAUGACUUGUAGGAGUUCCUUUGGCCCUGAUGACUCCACCUGCAGCAGCACUCCAGCAGGUGUGAAGUAAAGCUGGCUGUGCCCACCUCAAGAUAUAGUGUGGGUGUGGGGUGAGCUGCAGCCCUGUGAGGAAGCAGGGGAGUCAGUGGGACUUCGCAUGGGUGGGAACAGAGGUUUGGUGGCAAUCACCUUUCCCGAGUCAAAGUCCCCAUAAGGGUCCUGCCCACAUCAUUGGGAGCUCAUGGAGAUGUGGCCACCACUGACUGCCUCCUUCCCAGUCCUGCUGUUUGCCUCAGUUACGAGAUCCCAUGCAGCCCUGUCCAGCCAGCGUGGGGUAAUUAAAGGCAAAGAGGCCUCAUUCCUCAAGGACAGCCUCUUGGCAAGGAUGGAGGAGCUGUGAAGUCAUAGGGAAGCAAAACCCCGUCUCUCCCUGUCCUGGGGGACUGCAAAAGAAAAACUCAGUUUCUGGGUGAAGCAUCUUCAUCCUUGGCUUGCUGAGGUCCGGUGAGCUUCCUUGGCUUUUCCACAUGCAGAAGGAUGGGAGCAUGGAGGAUAGCUCACAGAGGCAGCACUACCACAAUGGUGUGUGUGGUCACCUCCACCACAGCUGUCCCUGCAUGGUUCUGGCCAGCUCCUUCCAUCAGCUGAGGAUGGUUGCUCCAUCCUCCACCAGAGCCACACAAAUCCCUGGACUAAUAUGCAGGUGCAGCAGUUGCUUGGCUGGGCAGAGGAUUAGCCCUCACCAACUUUUACAGAUAUGCUGCUUAGCAGCAGAGCUGCAGCACUGUUUCUUCUGCUUUAACAAUGAGAAGGUGACAUUAGCAUCCCAAAUCGAAGCCUCUCCAACCUCGAGCGGCUCUAAGGGAAAUGCACGCAUACAUAGAUAUGUACAUGUUUGUGGAGGUAUGGCAAAAAUCAGCCUGAGUGAUGUGGUUUGGGGCUUUGCUUUUAUAACCACAGCCAUUCAGUCCAGAUUAGAGAUGGGCAGUGUCCCUGGGAGGUGACAUGAGGCAAAAGGCUCUGUGACCUAGAAGAGUCAGCCAGAGAUAAAACACUUCUGGGGCACUGAGGAUAAGCUGCCAGUUGGAAACUUUCCUGCCCAGAAAAAGAAAAGGGACAGACUCUGAAGGGAAUGUAGCAAAAUGCACAGAGCCUCCUAUUCCACUGAAAAUUCUUGUUGUAUUUAUGCAUCCACUGGGAUGAAUGAAAUGAAAAUAGAUAUCAAAAUGGCCCUUUGCUCUCAGCUGCAAGGGGGACUCUGUUGAGAACCCAUCCAGCAGAAGAAAAUGAGAUCUCAUUACUUUAAAUAUUAGCUGAUGCACUAUCCCAUUGGACUUGUUAUACAAUCCAAAUGAUGCACCUCUUCAAAAAAUAAUUAGAAAAAAUGUUGCUGGAGACAUAAAAUACAAGAGGAAAAGGCUAUACUUGUGUUCCAGGCCUGCCUGGCAUGGAAAGGUGGGGUUUUGUUUUUGAUGAUGUUUUCUCAAACAUUAAAAUCUGCCUGCCAAUACGUUCUGAGCUUCACAUGCCUCAUUUAACUACAGACAUAGCAACAGAUAAAUAUGCCAUGACGAAUUUGGUAACAUUACUUUAUUGACGGCCAAAAAAAACCCCCCAGAUCACUCAAGACUAAAAGCCUGAACUCCUGCCAAACAAUCACAAGCAAGUGCUGGGAUGAAAGAUUUCGCGCCAGAAAUGGACAGACUCCACUAAAUAACUCCCAAUAACUGGAAGGUCUCUGCAAAGGUGAGGGCUCAGCUGCAGAGCAUCCUCAAAGAAACAGAAACAGAGAGUGAGAACACAAUGAAAGGGAAACAAACCACAUGGUCAUUGCUGCUCAGGUGACUGCAUCAGCAGGACAAGGGAAUGUCAGAGGCACUCAGUGCACCUUGGUAUGUGGGGGGAUUUGAGGUACCUAUUUAUGACGGCUGAGGGGAGGACCAAGCAGAUUAAAGUUAUAUUUGCAGCUAUUAAAAAUGAUCAGAUUAGUGAAAUCUAGAGACGAGAGAGAAGCUUCAGAGGGAUGACCCAAAGCUAAUUAAUUUGGCAGCAUGAUGGGAGAAGAAAUUAAGCGUGGACAGGGGGAAAGUAAAACAUAUUGGAAGGAACAACUUCAAUGCUUCAUAAUCACUAGUGGUUUCUAAAUUAACUGGAAGCAUGAAGGCAAAAAAAAUUAUGUGGGUGUAUCUGUGGACAAUAGAGCGAAAACCAUCUGGUUAAUGUACAGUGGUGAGGAAAAAAACCCUGAACAUGCUGUCAGAUUGCUUUCAUAGAGGGAUACAGAAAAUAAUAAAAAUAUUACAGUACUGUGUUGGUAAUGACUC